This 264-nucleotide ribosomal RNA is filed under the name uncultured archaeon. Its description in RNAcentral is "partial 16S ribosomal RNA". It matches the Rfam family "Archaeal small subunit ribosomal RNA", at positions 718 to 982 of the family's 1478-position model. The record is from RNAcentral.
AGUCACUGACAUUAGAUACCCCCGUAGUCCAGGGUGUAAACGCUGCAGACUUGGUGUUGGAAGUCCUUUGGGGGCAUUCAGUGCCGGAGAGAAGUUGUUAAGUCUGCUACUUGGGGAGUACGUCCGCAAGGAUGAAACUUAAAGGAAUUGGCGGGGGAGCACCGCAACGGGAGGAGCGUGCGGUUUAAUUGGAUUCAACACCGUAAACUCACCAGGGAAGACUGUUACAUGAAAGCCGAGAUGAAGACUCUGCUAGAUUUUCAG